AUUGCUUCUUGGCCUUUGGCUAAGAUCAAGUGUACUAUCUGUUCUUAUCAGUUUGAUAUCUGAUGUGUCUUCUAUACAAAGGCAAUAUAUUAAAUGGAUUUUUGGAACAGGGAGAUGGAGCUAGGGCUUGCUCCUUCCACUCCUUGCAUCAGCCUGGUAUUGCAGUAUACCCAGGAACAGUGCAAUAAAA
This 190-nucleotide small nuclear RNA is filed under the name Dasypus novemcinctus (nine-banded armadillo). Its description in RNAcentral is "U2 spliceosomal RNA (ENSDNOG00000036261.1)". It matches the Rfam family "U2 spliceosomal RNA". Rfam says of the family: U2 is a small nuclear RNA (snRNA) component of the spliceosome (involved in pre-mRNA splicing). Complementary binding between U2 snRNA (in an area lying towards the 5' end but 3' to hairpin I) and the branchpoint sequence (BPS) of the intron results the bulging out of an unpaired adenosine, on the BPS, which initiates a nucleophilic attack at the intronic 5' splice site, thus starting the first of two transesterification reactions that mediate splicing. The record is from RNAcentral. Lineage: Eukaryota; Metazoa; Chordata; Mammalia; Cingulata; Dasypodidae.